AAUGCCGGAUGCUCCGACUCCUCGCAUGGGGUGUCGGGAAAGAUUUCAUCGGUAUGGGAUGGGGUCGCGUCCUAUCAGGUAGUCGGCGGGGUAACGGCCCACCGAGCCUACGACGGGUAGCCGGCCUGAGAGGGCGACCGGCCACAUUGGGACUGAGAUACGGCCCAGACUCCUACGGGAGGCAGCAGUGGGGAAUAUUGCACAAUGGGCGCAAGCCUGAUGCAGCGACGCCGCGUGCGGGAUGACGGCCUUCGGGUUGUAAACCGCUUUUGAUCGGGAGCAAGCCUUCGGGUGAGUGUACCUUUCGAAUAAGCACCGGCUAACUACGUGCCAGCAGCCGCGGUAAUACGUAGGGUGCAAGCGUUAUCCGGAAUUAUUGGGCGUAAAGGGCUCGUAGGCGGUUCGUCGCGUCCGGUGUGAAAGUCCAUCGCUUAACGGUGGAUCUGCGCCGGGUACGGGCGGGCUGGAGUGCGGUAGGGGAGACUGGAAUUCCCGGUGUAACGGUGGAAUGUGUAGAUAUCGGAA
This 525-nucleotide ribosomal RNA is filed under the name Bifidobacterium pseudocatenulatum. RNAcentral's name for it is "bacterial SSU rRNA". It matches the Rfam family "Bacterial small subunit ribosomal RNA", at positions 165 to 702 of the family's 1533-position model. Lineage: Bacteria; Bacillati; Actinomycetota; Actinomycetes; Bifidobacteriales; Bifidobacteriaceae. The record is from RNAcentral.